UACGUAGGGGGCUAGCGUUGUCCGGAAUCAUUGGGCGUAAAGCGCGUGUAGGCGGUUCGGUAAGUCCGCUGUGAAAGUCGGGGGCUCAACCCUCGGAUGCCGGUGGAUACUGUCGAGCUUGAGUACGGAAGAGGCGAGUGGAAUUCCUGGUGUAGCGGUGAAAUGCGCAGAUAUCAGGAGGAACACCGGUGGCGAAGGCGGCAUCCUGGACCAACACUGACACUGAUGAGCGAAAGCCAGGGGAGCAAACGGG
RNAcentral lists this ribosomal RNA (253 nucleotides) under uncultured bacterium. RNAcentral's name for it is "partial 16S ribosomal RNA". It matches the Rfam family "Bacterial small subunit ribosomal RNA", at positions 524 to 776 of the family's 1533-position model. The record is from RNAcentral.